CCCCCGGGGCGCCGCCGCCCACCCGGCUCGGCUCGGCCAGGCCCCGCCGCCACCCACCUGCAGCCGCACGUUGAGCAUCAUGGAGGCGACGAUGUAGAGCUACAUCUAUUUAUUGUCUUGCCCUCCAGUCCAAGAGAAGUUGUUAGCUGAUACGCCUGUGGCACAAAUUAGACGAGCUCCAUGUCUGCUCUGUUUCUAAGCAGUAUCUCAGGAGCUCCGCAAGUGUCGCAGGAGCCAAGAACAGCAAGAGCACUGUGAUGCUGCCCACACCUCGCUUCCGCGGCUCCCGGCUGCUGGCUAGGGAACAGUUGCCAGGACAUCGCUAGCAGCUGAGUGUCGAGUUUAAGGACGUUUAGCUUAAAUGAGAACAGAUAUUUCAGCUUCCAUCUGCAUGAGGGCGUAUGGAGGUGCAAAUGUUGCGGGAAAUAAACAGUGCUGCAAUAGCUUUUCA
Rhea pennata is the source of this 451-nucleotide long non-coding RNA. RefSeq lists it as uncharacterized. The record is from RefSeq and is a predicted model, not a curated record. The transcript is spliced from 3 exons. NCBI's taxonomy places the organism in Eukaryota, Metazoa, Chordata, Aves, Rheiformes, Rheidae.